AAGACUUUAUUGAUGCAAAUCUUGGGAGAAAGUUCUCAGAAUCAGAAGCUGCCAAACUUGGGAGAUUAGCACUUCUUUGCACUCACGAAUCUCCUAAUCACAGGCCCACAAUGCAAGCUGUGUUGGAGGAACUAAGUGAAUUUAUUGUCACUCCUUAACUUAUAUUUAAGAAUUCAGAAAUCAGAAUUGUGGACAUUUUGCCUCAAUUUUCAACGUCAAGAGGCAAGACUUCGAUCCUUUACUUACUAGCUGAUAUUGAAGCACAGUUGCUAAUUUUUACCUAACCAUGUUGACAUGUGCUUUCUUGAGGAUUGCUGCCAUGUUAUGAUAUGUAGGGAGUUGUAUUCAACUGAACAAGUUUUCUUGUAUACAGUGGCGAAUUUUAGGGGACCCAGCCCCCUAACUGGAUUACUGUUACCCAUAGUCUAUAUUAAAUUUUUUCUUUUUUAAUAUUAAGUGCAAUUAUUUGGAUUAAUGUUACCAAUAACUCAGACUAAUAUUAAGCGCAAUUAUUU
RNAcentral lists this unclassified non-coding RNA (515 nucleotides) under Hevea brasiliensis (rubber tree). The record is from RNAcentral. Lineage: Eukaryota; Viridiplantae; Streptophyta; Magnoliopsida; Malpighiales; Euphorbiaceae.